UCCUACGGGGGGCAGCAGUGGGGGAUAUUGCACAAUGGGGGAAACCCUGAUGCAGCGACGCCGCGUGAGUGAAGAAGUAUUUCGGUACGUAAAGCUCUAUCAGCAGGGAAGAAAAAUGACGGUACCUGACUAAGAAGCCCCGGCUAACUACGUGCCAGCAGCCGCGGUAAUACGUAGGGGGCAAGCGUUAUCCGGAUUUACUGGGCGUAAAGGGAGCGUAGACGGCGUGCCAAGUCUGAUGUGAAAGGCCGGGGCUCA
Molecule: ribosomal RNA, 258 nt
Filed under: uncultured bacterium
Lineage: Bacteria
Description: partial 16S ribosomal RNA
Rfam family: Bacterial small subunit ribosomal RNA
Source: RNAcentral